UCCGACGUCGUUCAUCGGUUAGGAUACGUGGUUUUCAUCCACGGGAGCGGGGUUCGACUCCCCGCGUCGGAG
This is a transfer RNA of Tritrichomonas foetus, 72 nucleotides long. It matches the Rfam family "tRNA". Rfam says of the family: Transfer RNA (tRNA) molecules are approximately 80 nucleotides in length. Their secondary structure includes four short double-helical elements and three loops (D, anti-codon, and T loops). Lineage: Eukaryota; Parabasalia; Tritrichomonadida; Tritrichomonadidae. The record is from Rfam.